AAAACAUUCCAGGUUGCCGCCAGUUUCUCGCUGCUGCUGACGCAAUUGCCUCUGUCUGCUUCUCUUCGUCUGCCGCCACUCGGCCGCCGGGCUAGAAAUCGCCAUCACCGCCGCUGCCCACCUCCUCUGCCAUGUUAAGUAUGGUAAGUAUUCUAUUAGGAAAGAUUAUAAUUGUAAAUAUAGAAUGAUUAGGGCUUUACUUUAGAAAGAACAAAUUUUGGUAAAUGUUUAGCAAUGGAAACUUUAAAACCUAGAUUUUUAGUUAUAAAUUUAUUAGUUCACUGUAAAUUAUGCCGUAUUCACUCAAUCGCCCCCGCCUCCACCAUUCAGCCGGCCCGCCUCCAGCCUCUGCAUCAUCUUUCACUCCUCAGUCUUCAAGUAACAGCUUAAACCCUCAAAUUUUAUGUAGGCUCGAAUGUUGUAGGGCAGAUGUUUGUAGCUAAAGCCAGAAUUUUCAUAGGACCACAGAGUAAGCUUAUUUCGACUGGAAUCUUUUCAUUAGUUUGUUGUUUGUUUUUUCUAUAACAGUGAUGAUUUUGUGGGGUUAUUUUGAUUCAAUUUUUUGUUUCAGUGCGCUGUCAAUUUGUGCUCCCCUUUAUAUAGAAAUCAGAAUAUGUUUUUAAUUGGUUUCCCCUAGAGUUACUAAAUCUUGUGAUUGUGAUGUCUAUUGAUUUGGUUUCGUGUGAGAUAAUACGAUGUGAUUAUCUUAUUUGGUAUUUUUGUUGAGAUGAAUUGUUAAUAGCUCGGAUGUAUAGUUGUUGAAAUUACUUUGUUAAUGACUGUUAUUAAUUCUAAUCUCGAAUAUUGGCCUUACAAAGAAAGGUUCCUAAUUUCUCUUUUUUUUAUGUCUGCAUUUAUGUUUGAUGAUGGCUUUAUGGAAGAGUUAUGAUUUGAUGAAUUUAACAUGAUGAAAUAGAAUAUGGGCUUGAAGAGUUGGUGGAGUUCAGAUGGAGAGAAUUAGGAGAGGAGACACAGGUUAGAAUUCAAAGCAUUUUGAUUAGCUUUUGAAAUUCUUGAAUUUUUUUUGAGAUUGAUGAUGAAUAUGUGAUGAGCAGGAAAUUCAUGGGGCAAAUUCGUCGUUCGAUUAGCUGUCUGUAUUGCACAUGAUGGCAAUGCUGACGCUGAUGGAGGCAAAUGAAAAGCUAAUUCCUAAAGAAAGUAGUCUGUCUGAGAGGUUUGUGUCUGCAGGGUUAUAUCUAUCUACAUACAUACAAGUGAUAAUUUUGAAAAUUUUGAGAUAAUUUUGUGUUGCUAUUGUGAUCAGAUUGCAUGAGAGAUGUUGAUUUGCUGCUGAAAGCAGCAGGAUAUUUUAAUUUAUGUGUUCUUGAUGUUCUUCCAUGGCUAGCACCUGAGCUAAAGUUAAGCAUACGCAUUUUUGUUGAUUAGAUUCUUGAUAUCUUUGUAUAGACAGGAUGAAGCUGCCUUCGGACAUGCAGGGGCACGUGCUAGAGGCGAUUUCACAUCAAGCACUGGCACAGGCAAUUUCACAUCAAGCACUGGCACAGGUAGAAACUGCCUUCUAUUACAACUUGAACAGAACAGCAAUCUUAAAAAACAUGCAUGAAGUUGAAGUCAUAGUGUGAGAUGAUGAUUAAUUUAUUGCAUGGGUGAUAUAUUCCAGGGAACUGAAAUUCAGCUUGGAUUAGUUGUCCAAAGUAAAAAUGCAACUGUCUGUGAAGAAGAGACUAGCUUGUGAACAGUUGAGUUUCUAUGCUCAGGUAAUUAAGAUGUCCCAUUUAGUACUAAGCUGCAGUUUCCUUCAUUUCCUACAGUUAGGAAGAGUGUUGUAAGAGACCUAAUUGAUAAGUGUCUGUUUGUUAGGCGUAUAACUGUUUAUCGGACAAGAAUGAGAGCAGUGCAGCUCUGAAGAAUCAACUAUUCUUCCUCAAGCUGAAGCUUCUGGAAGCUAAGGUGCUUCUUAUUUUCAUCAAUCAAUAGUUCCCAUCUCAUUUUGUUUAUUUACACGUUCUAGACUUACACAGGCUGCAGCUUACUACUAUCACCGUGUAAUCCUAGACAAGGGCACAGAGCCUUCCUGCCAUGUCAGCGUCGUCUGCUGCUCUCUUGCUACAGAGGAGUUGCUGGUCGAGAGCAAGAAGGCAUACUUGACCUUUUGCCUUGCAGAUCCAAUCACAAGGUAAUUCACUUCAAAUUAUAAAUAACUUUUUAUUCACCAAUCAAACUAACACAUGCUCUGUUCGAGUUCGUGUACUAGAUGUACAUACAUACACACUUAUAUCUAUAAAAUAGACAUAUUACAAUUAAGAGAUAAAGUUCAAGCAGUUCGCAAGGCACGCUCUUUCUAAGUUGCAAUCUAUAUUUGCUGAAGGGUGAUUGAUAAUUCAUGUGAAAACUUGAGAGCAACCAAAAAAUGUCUAAGUGGAAAGAGUAAAGAAAGCAAUUUAUAUGAAAGGAAAGUAAUUUCUAAGACAACUAUUUGCUCUGUUUUUUUUUUCUUUCACAGCUUUGAACUACUUGCUCGGCAUUAUGUUUGGGUUGCAUCAUUCUAAUGAUCUUGCCAGUAACAUACAACUACAUGAACUAUUUUUAUUAAUGCAUGUUCAUGUAAGUAUAAUACAUAUAUUUAUUUGACAAUGUUGUCUAUCUAUAUCUGCUGGUGGGGUUGGUGGAGAAGGCGAUGGUUGUUUUGAGCGGGAUCACGACGAUUGAGAUAGGGCAAGAGGUGAUCAUUGAGGAAGGCAGGCGGGAUCGCGAGCGAUUGAGGAUGAGAGCAACAAAGGGAAGUAGUUCGCAUAUGUAAUUGCUUACUUCGUUUGAUUUUUUUCUUUUUUUUUUUCUUUUUCUUUUUUAGACUAAAAAUGCUUCUUGGGUUUGAGGAUUUUAAGAUUGAUUUGACUAUUAAAGCUACAAUUUCUUGGAAUUAUAUGUUUGGGUUUAAUAAAUUAUGGAAUAUUUUUCUCUGAUAAAUUAAAAAGAAAAAUAAUAAACACGAUAUAUGUAACAAAAAGUGAAUGUAGAGCACUUUACAAAAAUUAAUAACUUGACUUCAAAAACUUUUUUUUAGCUUGCUACAAUAAGAAUAACUAAUUUCUAUUUAAAUUGAUAUAAUACAUUAAUUAGAUAUGAAUGAUUAAUUAAUGAAAUUUUAAAAUUUAUAAUUAUAGUAUUAAAUAAUUCUUGCAUCUUUUUCUUUAAAAUUACUGUAAGAUCAAAUAAUUCCCAUCGAAUUUCGACGGAUUAGGUGAUUUAUUUGUUGGGUGGUUGAUUGCAGAAUGUCGACGCUGAAAAGCAGCAGCGCACCUACCUCUCAAGCUUCGACGGGUAUCCGUCGGGUAACGGGUGGCGGGGUAACGGGUGGCGGGUAUCCGUGGAUCGUGGGUAUGGGUGGCAAAUAAUUUUUUUGAAUAUACAUUUUGCUAAGUCAUGUUAGAGAUGAAAGUCCUCUUCAAUUUAUUUUUUCAUUUUAGUUUGAUAUGUAAUUAGAUUUAUGUCAUGUUAACACUUAUUUUAUUGAAUAAUAUUCAUUAUUUAUAAAUAUAUUAUGAAAAGAAGAUGAACUUUUUAUUUAUAAACUAUAACACCAAAUAAUUCCCGUCGAAUUUCGACGGGUUACACACUAGUUAUUGUUGUUUAAUUUGUUGUAAAAUAAUAUUACCUUUUAAUUUUUUUUGGUCACCAAAUAGUAGCUAUGGCAUGUCUCACCGGCGCCGGUGAUGUCAAAGUGCAACUGCACGGUGUCAUUAUUUUCACUUCGAUUAAUAUAAUGUUCGACAUACCAACUUCUUUACUACCAAAAUUGUAGUGUUGCAAUUAUAUGGAGUAAUUGAUAAAAGUGAGUGCACUAAUUAACAAUUCCCUAUAAUAAAACUACAACCGCUAUUAAAAAUUGACCUAUUUUUGAAAAUGCAUUUUUGGAAGAUGCUCACGAAUCUAUCAAUUCUAUAAAGCAAUACAUAUUCCAGCCUCCAUAUUGUUUCUCUCUCCUACAUGGCACACUCACACUGCUUUAUUUCACAUUAUCUUGAAAGGCUUUUCACUCACAAUUCUCACAAUUUUACAAAGCCUGUUGCAGCCGUUACAUCCCUCAAGGUCAAAGCCAUCUCUCAAAAUUUCCAUCCAUGGCUUCAGCCGUUACAUCUUUCAAAGUCUCAAUUUCUCUCACAAUAUGAGUUUCCAGUCUCAAUCUUUCCACAAAUCUCAAACAAUUCGCUGGUCUCUCUCGCUUCUUCUCAAACAAUCGGCGCCGAAUCUUCCCACAAAUAUCAAACAAUCGGCUGUGUAAUUGGGAGAUUCAGUUUCUCUCUUUCAAUUUCCAUCGCCCACCUCCCAGCCAACCACCGCCAGUCGCUGUCCUGUCGCCGCGAUUCAGACGCCGUCCUCCGCCCCGUGAUUCAGAUGCCGUCACUGCCUUCUGUGCGAAUCCAGCCGUGCCGUCCUCCACCGCCGCCUUUAUGUGGUCGUGCCUCCAGCCGCCUCUGUGCGAAUCCAGCCGCGCCGUCCUCCGCUUUCUCCAGCCGCCUAUGUCGCCCAUGGCAUCACCAUAGCCAUCAGCAUAGGCCGACGAUUCCCCAAUAUCCGACGCCAUAUCUCCCACCAGCAAUUUUCCAACAAUCCCACCCCUAAUCCCAACCCUAAUCCGUCGCCCAUUCUCAUCUUAUUCUUCUUCGGCCUCUCUGAGUCCGGAUUUGAAAAAAGCCCUGUCGAUUUUUAUUUCUGUUUCAUUGUAGUCUUACUGACUGAAGAACUCUUCCUCUCUCGCUCUUCACAUCUCUCAGAUCUAGCGGGGGAGAAAUCCCUGCCACCAACCUCCGAAGAAUUCGAAAAACAUUCCAGGUUGCCGCCAGUUUCUCGCUGCUGCUGACGCAAUCGCCUCUGUCUGCUUCUCUUCGUCUACCGCCACUCGGCCGCCGGGCUAGAAAUCGCCAUCACCGCCGCUGCCCACCUCCUCUGCCAUGUUAAGUAUGGUAAGUAUUCUAUUAGGAAAGAUUAUAAUUGUAAAUAUAGAAUGAUUAGGGCUCUACUUUAGAAAGAACAAAUUUUGGUAAAUGUUUAGCAAUGGAAACUUUAAAACCUAGAUUUUUAGUUAUAAAUUUAUUAGUUCACUGUAAAUUAUGCCGUAUUCACUCAAUCGCCCCCGCCUCCACCAUUCAGCCGGCCCGCCUCCAGCCUCUGCAUCAUCUUUCACUCCUCAGUCUUCAAGUAACAGCUUAAACCCUCAAAUUUUAUGUAGGCUCGAAUGUUGUAGGGCAGAUGUUUGUAGCUAAAGCUAGAAUUUUUCAUAGGACCACAGAGUAAGCUUAUUUCGACUGGAAUCUUUUCAUUAGUUUGUUGUUUGUUUUUUCUAUAACAGUGAUGAUUUUGUGGGGUUAUUUUGAUUCAAUUUUUUGUUUCAGUGCGCUGUCAAUUUGUG
RNAcentral lists this long non-coding RNA (5371 nucleotides) under Salvia miltiorrhiza (redroot sage). Its description in RNAcentral is "long non-coding RNA (SMIL_LNC005727)". Lineage: Eukaryota; Viridiplantae; Streptophyta; Magnoliopsida; Lamiales; Lamiaceae. The record is from RNAcentral.